AUUGAACGCUGGCGGUAGGCCUAACACAUGCAAGUCGAACGGCAGCACAGGAGAGCUUGCUCUCUGGGUGGCGAGUGGCGGACGGGUGAGGAAUACAUCGGAAUCUACUCUGUCGUGGGGGAUAACGUAGGGAAACUUACGCUAAUACCGCAUACGACCUACGGAUGAAAGCAGGGGAUCGCAAGACCUUGUGCUACUAGAGCGGCCGAUGGCAGAUUAGGUAGUUGGUGGGAUAAAAGCUUACCAAGCCGACGAUCUGUAGCUGGUCUGAGAGGACGAUCAGCCACACUGGGACUGAGACACGGCCCAGACUCCUACGGGAGGCAGCAGUGGGGAAUUUUGGACAAUGGGCGCAAGCCUGAUCCAGCCAUACCGCGUGGGUGAAGAAGGCCUUCGGGUUGUAAAGCCCUUUUGUUGGGAAAGAAAUCCAGCUGGCUAAUACCCGGUUGGGAUGACGGUACCCAAAGAAUAAGCACCGGCUAACUUCGUGCCAGCCGCCGCGGUAA
This 506-nucleotide ribosomal RNA is filed under the name uncultured bacterium. RNAcentral's name for it is "partial 16S ribosomal RNA". It matches the Rfam family "Bacterial small subunit ribosomal RNA", at positions 30 to 523 of the family's 1533-position model. The record is from RNAcentral.